UCCUGGCGCCCUUCAUUCCACCGGAAUCUGUCGAUGCAGAAACCAGAUUUCAGUGAAAUGAAGCCCGUCAGAGA
Molecule: microRNA precursor, 74 nt
Filed under: Phoenicopterus ruber ruber
Lineage: Eukaryota; Metazoa; Chordata; Aves; Phoenicopteriformes; Phoenicopteridae
Also listed under: 1 other name
Description: mir-205 microRNA precursor family
Rfam family: mir-205 microRNA precursor family
Source: Rfam by way of RNAcentral